RNAcentral lists this long non-coding RNA (1010 nucleotides) under Vulpes vulpes (red fox). RNAcentral describes it as "lncRNA (ENSVVUG00000015304.1)". The record is from RNAcentral. Lineage: Eukaryota; Metazoa; Chordata; Mammalia; Carnivora; Canidae.
AAAUCACAGAUGUGCUUGAGUUCCCUUUUGUUUGGAGGAGUCACCUCAGGGCCGGGUGCACAUUAAAAACAUCUAGGGAGCUUUAAAAAAUCCCAAUGCCAAGGCCCCACUUCAAUCCUAUUAAAUUAGAUGCCCUAAAGGUGGGAUCCAUGUAUCCAAAUUUUUCUUAGAGCUCCCCAGGUGAUGGUAAUGUAUAGCCAGGGUCGAGAAGUCCUGACCCAGAGCUCUUGAUCCCACAAACAGUCCUUUUCUUUCCUCUGGGUCGACUUUCCACCCAAACAGCUUCCUGAUCUCCUUCACUGGAAGCGAAGACUGCCUUUCAGUUUAAUUCAGUUCAAUUACACACAGUUCAAUUCAGUAAAUGUUUACUCAACUGCUUCUCUACCUUUCAUUUCUGAUUGUGUUUCCAGGAGAGUGGUGAGAACCGUGUCUCCCAAAUAGGAGGGCAGAGAUACUUGAGUCUAUCUCAUUUUUUGAGAAGCAUAUUUUUUUUAAAAAAGCUGUUAAAUGCAGAUACAUUUCUAAAAAAUAAUGUAUUGAAUCGGCACAUCACAUUUUUCUGACACUCAAAGCUCUGAACAGAACUUGGAAACAGAAAUUCUGAAAUUGAAGGAAACCUACAUAACAUCAGAAGGAUCCCCAGAUCCUUUCUAAGAUGGAAGGCAGUAAAGUCCAUGCUAAAUCCAGAUACCCCUAAAUGCAGGCCCUGAGGAGUUUGAUAUGGGAGGGAAGACAACUCCAACAAGAAUCAGGUCCAGGAUUUAUAACUGGACAGUUUCAAAUCCAUGUGGAUGAUCCUUCAGUGUGAACAUUUUUGGGUGUCUACACAGAACCUUGAAUUAUAAGACCCCCAACAAAGGCCUGUUGGAAAGUUCCUUGAAACCAGGUGGAUUAAACUGGUCCUGGAUGUUUAGUUGCAGAUGCUCGCUGUGGGCAGACUGAGGAAGCAGCCCUCUACCACAGAUGUGCUAGAACAAGGUCAGGACAUUUGAAAAAAAAAAAAAAAAAUC